ACCCAAGUGAGAUUAGCUUGUUGGUGAGGUAACGGCUCACCAAGGCGACGAUCUCUAACUGGUCUGAGAGGAUGACCAGUCACACUGGGACUGAGACACGGCCCAGACUCCUACGGGAGGCAGCAGUGGGGAAUAUUGCACAAUGGGGGAAACCCCGAUGCAGCCAUGCCGCGUGUGUGAAGAAGGCCUUCGGGUUGUAAAGCACUUUCAGUGGUGAGGAAAGGUAAGGGGUUAAUAACUCCUUGCUGUGACGUUAACCACAGAAGAAGCACCGGCUAACUCCGUGCCAGCAGCCGCGGUAAUACAGAGGGUGCAAGCGUUAAUCGGAAUUACUGGGCGUAAAGGGAGCGUAGGUGGCUCUAUAAGUCAGAUGUGAAAUCCCCGGGCUUAACCUGGGAACUGCAUCUGAAACUGUAGAGCUAGAGUAUGUGAGAGGAAGGUAGAAUUCCAGGUGUAGCGG
This 460-nucleotide ribosomal RNA is filed under the name uncultured bacterium. RNAcentral's name for it is "bacterial SSU rRNA". It matches the Rfam family "Bacterial small subunit ribosomal RNA", at positions 229 to 681 of the family's 1533-position model. The record is from RNAcentral.